AGGUCACCUAUGAAAUAAACGUGGAGGAAUGAAUGGGCUGAACAUGAAAAUUGGAAUAAAAGGAAGUUUGUAUUAAAAGUGUUUAGGGAGGUUAGUCACUAUCGUCAAAUAUAUCCUACCCGUCCAUUAGCCUACAUUACAAACAAAUAAAAACCUCUUGAUCUUGGACUGAACAGCUUGAUUAGUGGAGUAUUACACUAGGGGCAAGCUUAUGGUAUAUCUGUGUGG
This 228-nucleotide long non-coding RNA is filed under the name Nicotiana benthamiana. RNAcentral's name for it is "long non-coding RNA (NBEN_LNC007240)". Lineage: Eukaryota; Viridiplantae; Streptophyta; Magnoliopsida; Solanales; Solanaceae. The record is from RNAcentral.